RNAcentral lists this ribosomal RNA (66 nucleotides) under Morganella morganii. RNAcentral's name for it is "partial 16S ribosomal RNA". It matches the Rfam family "Bacterial small subunit ribosomal RNA", at positions 1 to 66 of the family's 1533-position model. Lineage: Bacteria; Pseudomonadati; Pseudomonadota; Gammaproteobacteria; Enterobacterales; Morganellaceae. The record is from RNAcentral.
UAAUUGAAGAGUUUGAUCAUGGCUCAGAUUGAACGCUGGCGGCAGGCCUAACACAUGCAAGUCGGG